CCUACGGGGGGCAGCAGUGGGGAAUAUUGCACAAUGGGCGCAAGCCUGAUGCAGCCAUGCCGCGUGUGUGAAGAAGGCCUUCGGGUUGUAAAGCACUUUCAGCGGGGAGGAAGGCGUUAAGGUUAAUAACCUUGUCGAUUGACGUUACCCGCAGAAGAAGCACCGGCUAACUCCGUGCCAGCAGCCGCGGUAAUGCGGAGGGUGCAAGCGUUAAUCGGAAUUACUGGGCGUAAAGCGCACGCAGGCGGUCUGUCAAGUCGGAUGUGAAAUCCCCGGGCUCAACCUGGGAACUGCAUUCGAAACUGGCAGGCUAGAGUCUUGUAGAGGGGGGUAGAAUUCCAGGUGUAGCGGUGAAAUGCGUAGAGAUCUGGAGGAAUACCGGUGGCGAAGGCGGCCCCCUGGACAAAGACUGACGCUCAGGUGCGAAAGCGUGGGGAGCAAACAGGAUUAGAUACCCGAGUAGUC
This 465-nucleotide ribosomal RNA is filed under the name uncultured Klebsiella sp. RNAcentral's name for it is "bacterial SSU rRNA". It matches the Rfam family "Bacterial small subunit ribosomal RNA", at positions 338 to 795 of the family's 1533-position model. The record is from RNAcentral. Lineage: Bacteria; Pseudomonadati; Pseudomonadota; Gammaproteobacteria; Enterobacterales; Enterobacteriaceae.